This 2691-nucleotide ribosomal RNA is filed under the name Klebsiella pneumoniae. Its description in RNAcentral is "bacterial LSU rRNA". It matches the Rfam family "Bacterial large subunit ribosomal RNA". Lineage: Bacteria; Pseudomonadati; Pseudomonadota; Gammaproteobacteria; Enterobacterales; Enterobacteriaceae. The record is from RNAcentral.
CACUAUCGUUAACUGAAUACAUAGGUUAACGAGGCGAACCGGGGGAACUGAAACAUCUAAGUACCCCGAGGAAAAGAAAUCAACCGAGAUUCCCCCAGUAGCGGCGAGCGAACGGGGAGCAGCCCAGAGUCUGAAUCAGCUUGUGUGUUAGUGGAACGGUCUGGAAAGUCCGACGGUACAGGGUGAUAGUCCCGUACACCAAAAUGCACAGGCUGUGAACUCGAAGAGUAGGGCGGGACACGUGGUAUCCUGUCUGAAUAUGGGGGGACCAUCCUCCAAGGCUAAAUACUCCUGACUGACCGAUAGUGAACCAGUACCGUGAGGGAAAGGCGAAAAGAACCCCGGCGAGGGGAGUGAAAAAGAACCUGAAACCGUGUACGUACAAGCAGUGGGAGCACCUUCGGGUGUGACUGCGUACCUUUUGUAUAAUGGGUCAGCGACUUAUAUUCUGUAGCAAGGUUAACCGUAUAGGGGAGCCGCAGGGAAACCGAGUCUUAACUGGGCGUUAAGUUGCAGGGUAUAGACCCGAAACCCGGUGAUCUAGCCAUGGGCAGGUUGAAGGUUGGGUAACACUAACUGGAGGACCGAACCGACUAAUGUUGAAAAAUUAGCGGAUGACUUGUGGCUGGGGGUGAAAGGCCAAUCAAACCGGGAGAUAGCUGGUUCUCCCCGAAAGCUAUUUAGGUAGCGCCUCGUGAAUUCAUCUUCGGGGGUAGAGCACUGUUUCGGCUAGGGGGUCAUCCCGACUUACCAACCCGAUGCAAACUACGAAUACCGAAGAAUGUUAUCACGGGAGACACACGGCGGGUGCUAACGUCCGUCGUGAAGAGGGAAACAACCCAGACCGCCAGCUAAGGUCCCAAAGUCAUGGUUAAGUGGGAAACGAUGUGGGAAGGCACAGACAGCCAGGAUGUUGGCUUAGAAGCAGCCAUCAUUUAAAGAAAGCGUAAUAGCUCACUGGUCGAGUCGGCCUGCGCGGAAGAUGUAACGGGGCUAAACCAUGCACCGAAGCUGCGGCAGCGACACUAUGUGUUGUUGGGUAGGGGAGCGUUCUGUAAGCCUGCGAAGGUGNNNNNNNNNNNNNNNNNNNNNNNNNNNNNNNUGCUGGAGGUAUCAGAAGUGCGAAUGCUGACAUAAGUAACGAUAAAGCGGGUGAAAAGCCCGCUCGCCGGAAGACCAAGGGUUCCUGUCCAACGUUAAUCGGGGCAGGGUGAGUCGACCCCUAAGGCGAGGCCGAAAGGCGUAGUCGAUGGGAAACAGGUUAAUAUUCCUGUACUUGGUGUUACUGCGAAGGGGGGACGGAGAAGGCUAUGUUAGCCGGGCGACGGUUGUCCCGGUUUAAGCAUGUAGGCUGGUUGUCCAGGCAAAUCCGGAUAAUCAAGGCUGAGGUGUGAUGACGAGGCACUACGGUGCUGAAGUAACAAAUGCCCUGCUUCCAGGAAAAGCCUCUAAGCAUCAGGUAACAUCAAAUCGUACCCCAAACCGACACAGGUGGUCAGGUAGAGAAUACCAAGGCGCUUGAGAGAACUCGGGUGAAGGAACUAGGCAAAAUGGUGCCGUAACUUCGGGAGAAGGCACGCUGGUGUGUAGGUGAAGCCCCUGCGGGUGGAGCUGAGACCAGUCGAAGAUACCAGCUGGCUGCAACUGUUUAUUAAAAACACAGCACUGUGCAAACACGAAAGUGGACGUAUACGGUGUGACGCCUGCCCGGUGCCGGAAGGUUAAUUGAUGGGGUUAUCCGUAAGGAGAAGCUCUUGAUCGAAGCCCCGGUAAACGGCGGCCGUAACUAUAACGGUCCUAAGGUAGCGAAAUUCCUUGUCGGGUAAGUUCCGACCUGCACGAAUGGCGUAAUGAUGGCCAGGCUGUCUCCACCCGAGACUCAGUGAAAUUGAACUCGCUGUGAAGAUGCAGUGUACCCGCGGCAAGACGGAAAGACCCCGUGAACCUUUACUAUAGCUUGACACUGAACAUUGAGCCUUGAUGUGUAGGAUAGGUGGGAGGCUUUGAAGCGUGGACGCCAGUCUGCGUGGAGCCAACCUUGAAAUACCACCCUUUAAUGUUUGAUGUUCUAACGUUGGCCCCUUACCGGGGUUGCGGACAGUGUCUGGUGGGUAGUUUGACUGGGGCGGUCUCCUCCCAAAGCGUAACGGAGGAGCACGAAGGUUAGCUAAUCCUGGUCGGACAUCAGGAGGUUAGUGCAAUGGCAUAAGCUAGCUUGACUGCGAGCGUGACGGCGCGAGCAGGUGCGAAAGCAGGUCAUAGUGAUCCGGUGGUUCUGAAUGGAAGGGCCAUCGCUCAACGGAUAAAAGGUACUCCGGGGAUAACAGGCUGAUACCGCCCAAGAGUUCAUAUCGACGGCGGUGUUUGGCACCUCGAUGUCGGCUCAUCACAUCCUGGGGCUGAAGUAGGUCCCAAGGGUAUGGCUGUUCGCCAUUUAAAGUGGUACGCGAGCUGGGUUUAGAACGUCGUGAGACAGUUCGGUCCCUAUCUGCCGUGGGCGCUGGAGAAUUGAGGGGGGCUGCUCCUAGUACGAGAGGACCGGAGUGGACGCAUCACUGGUGUUCGGGUUGUCAUGCCAAUGGCACUGCCCGGUAGCUAAAUGCGGAAGAGAUAAGUGCUGAAAGCAUCUAAGCACGAAACUUGCCCCGAGAUGAGUUCUCCCUGAGACUUUAAGUCUCCUGAAGGAACGUU